GAAAGGCGGGCUAAACCCGCGUACAUGCCACCGGGGCAUCCCGGAGGCAGGAAAGGCUUCGGCCGGACAGGGAUGGGCAUGCGGCGCAUUAGGCAGUAGGCGGGGUAACGGCCCACCUAACCGACGAUGCGUAGGGGUUCUGAGAGGAAGGUCCCCCACACUGGUACUGAGACACGGACCAGACUCCUACGGGAGGCAGCAGUGGGGAAUAUUGGUCAAUGGUCGGGAGACUGAACCAGCCAAGCCGCGUGAGGGAUGAAGGUACAGAGUAUCGUAAACCUCUUUUGUCAGGGAACAAAGGCGGGGACGUGUCCCCGGAUGAGUGUACCUGAAGAAAAAGCAUCGGCUAACUCCGUGCCAGCAGCCGCGGUAAUACGGAGGAUGCGAGCGUUAUCCGGAUUUAUUGGGUUUAAAGGGUGCGCAGGCGGUCUGUUAAGUCAGCGGUCAAAGCCCGGGGCUCAACCCCGGCCCGCCGUUGAAACUGGCAGUCUCGAGUUGGAGAGAAGUAUGCGGAAUGCGCGGUGUAGCGGUGAAAUGCAUAGAUAUCGCGCAGAACUCCGAUUGCGAAGGCAGCAUGCCGGCUCCACACUGACGCUGAGGCACGAAAGCGUGGGUAUCGAACAGGAUUAGAUACCCUGGUAGUCC
Molecule: ribosomal RNA, 645 nt
Filed under: uncultured bacterium
Lineage: Bacteria
Description: bacterial SSU rRNA
Rfam family: Bacterial small subunit ribosomal RNA
Source: RNAcentral